ACCUGGGUGGUUCAGUCAGUUAAGCAUCUGACUUUGGUUCAGGUCAUGAUCUCUCAGUUUGUGGGUUCAAGCCCUGUCUCAGGUU
RNAcentral lists this transfer RNA (85 nucleotides) under Felis catus (domestic cat). It matches the Rfam family "tRNA". Rfam says of the family: Transfer RNA (tRNA) molecules are approximately 80 nucleotides in length. The record is from Rfam by way of RNAcentral. Lineage: Eukaryota; Metazoa; Chordata; Mammalia; Carnivora; Felidae.